Non-coding RNA from Haemonchus placei, 75 nucleotides. The record is from Rfam. Lineage: Eukaryota; Metazoa; Nematoda; Chromadorea; Rhabditida; Trichostrongylidae.
GGCCCAAAUUUGAAGUAAAGUAGAUCAGUAAGGUUAACUGAUCCCGAUAAUCUUCUUUACUUCAAAUUUGGGCCA